UACGGAGGGUGCAAGCGUUAUCCGGAUUCACUGGGUUUAAAGGGUGCGUAGGCGGGUAAGUAAGUCCGUGGUGAAAUCUCUGAGCUUAACUCAGAAACUGCCGUGGAUACUAUUUGCCUUGAAUAUUGUGGAGGUGAGCGGAAUAUGUCAUGUAGCGGUGAAAUGCUUAGAUAUGACAUAGAACACCAACUGCGAAGGCAGCUCACUACACAAUGAUUGACGCUGAGGCACGAAAGCGUGGGGAUCAAACAGG
RNAcentral lists this ribosomal RNA (253 nucleotides) under uncultured bacterium. RNAcentral describes it as "partial 16S ribosomal RNA". It matches the Rfam family "Bacterial small subunit ribosomal RNA", at positions 524 to 776 of the family's 1533-position model. The record is from RNAcentral.